Vicugna pacos (alpaca) is the source of this 5987-nucleotide non-coding RNA. Lineage: Eukaryota; Metazoa; Chordata; Mammalia; Artiodactyla; Camelidae. The record is from RefSeq and is a predicted model, not a curated record.
UGUGGGUGUGUGCAUGAGACAGAGACACUGAGGGAGGUAGGGACGCGGGAGGGGGCGACUGGGCAUUUAUCUCUGUUAAAGAGAAACCCCUAACCUCCCCAGGCCACACCUCCUGCCUGGGCCCCCCCGACCCGGACCCUGCGACUCACUGCUCUCGCGCCCUCCCUGGCCCUGGACCUGCGGCCCCGGCUUCGCAGGGCUGAAGGUGCCCCCAGGAGAGGAGCACAGAGACCCGCAGCCCCUUCCCUGCUGUCAGUCAGCGGCUUUUCUCAUUUGCACAUGUGAGUGUUUUUAUUUCCAAGCUGGGGACAGAUUUUGUCCCUGCCUGUCAGCUGCCCUCCUGAGGAACCCAGGAGACAGGUCUGAGAGGGCCUCUCUGCUCGGGUCUGGGACGGCGCCAGCUCCUCAGACAUCGGAAAUGGCCCCGGGAUGGACGCCCCCUCCUUGGGCAGCUCUGCAGGGCUGGGGCUGGGGAGUGACUCUCCCGUCAUCACCACCACGCUGGGACCAGAGCCGCAGGCCACUUGGCCUGGGCGCAGGAGCUUGGCAGAGGCCUGGGCUGGGAAAGCCAGGCCAUGGGAGCUGAGGGACCUGGGGCUCUGUUGGCCAGAGGGUCAGAAACCAGCAAUCACAGCAUCCAUCUUGCCAGUGGCCUCCCCAGAAGUGGACCUGCCUGAGGGGCCCGCCCUCUGGCCCCCCAAGUGGCUCCGGGCAGUGGGCAGCCUGCUUCCUCUGGCCCUGCUCAUUUGUUCCUUUAGAAUUUGAAAGUUAUUGAGACCUUGCAAGAAAAAAAUAACGAGAAAUUAGUGGGUGAGGAUGAUGGAGUGUGGCCUUGGGCAGCAGGCUGCAGCAGCUUCAGCCGUAAAACCCAAGGUGAGGGGGACGUGGACGCCGACACCCGUGGUUCCUGGGGCGUCAGCCCUGGGCUACCCUCCCCUUCUGACAAGAGAGGGCCGGGGCUGUGCAGGGGGGUUUUGGGUGCCCGGGGGUAGGGUGCAGUGUUCUAAUCAGAAGUGUCUCAGGUCGACUGGGCAAGAUGAGCAAAGAAUAGCCACAGAAAUUUUUAAAAACUGCUGGUCUGACGCUGGCUAUCCAGUGUCAUCUAAAUUACUUUCUAAAGCUCUUUCAGGAAACAAGUGUAUGAGGUUUUGCAUCAGUAUCAUAGGGUCAGGGCGCCCACUACACUCUACUCCAGGCCAGCCAGACCUGGAGAUGGAGGGAGACCCGGGGCCACUCGGCCCAGAAGCCCAGGUCUGAGUCAGAAGCUGCUGUCGUGCUGGACCUGCCACGGGAGAGACUUCGCUUCACGUCCCAGCGGGUCUGAGCUGGAGGCCUCCCCGCUCUGCUCACCGUGCGGCAGGCAGCGGGGCGUGCAAGGUGAUGGUGGCACACGGGCGUGGGCACAUGACUCCCCAUGCGGUCAGGGGCAUCUCCGGCCCCGCCACUGGCUGCCCCUCUGACCACUGCCAUCCUCCUCGUUGCAGCUCUGACCGGACACGGUUGUGCUUGGCAUGUUAACCAUCUUACGGGGGUCGGGGUGAGUUGCCAGGGUGUCUCAUGGCAUGUGUGUGACCAGGUGCUCCGUGACCGAAUGCGUGUCACCUGCCUUUUGAUGACAGACCUCCCUGUCCUCUGGCGAUGCUGCUCCUGAGUUUUGUGUUCCAACCACAUCCUGAAUGGAUAUUUUCAUGUAAAUUUGUGGCAUGUGAAAAGUUUAAAAUAAAGUGGACUUGGUUUAGAAAACCAGGCAGCUGUGUUGUCCUUCCAGCAAGGACACCCCUGACCUUGGUCCUGCGGCCCCGUCUGCAGCCCCUGAGGAGGGGCCGGGGCGGUGGGGCCCUGGUCACCCACAGCUGUUCAGGUGUUGAGGACAGACUCCGUGCUUGGCUGGUUGGGGGUCUCUGAAUGGAGACCUGAGACGCAAAGUAGGGACCAGGUGCUAUCUGGGGCCAUCAGGAGGCGACUGCUGAGUUCGCCUUUGCAGGCUGGGGAGGCAGAGGCCGUGAGGAGGCGGGCAGGGGUGCAGGGACGCCGGGGUGGCCGGGAGCUGCUCUCUGUACCAGGGCUCCGUGUGGCCGGUAGGGGCCGAGGCGGCGCAGGCAUUCUCUGGGGGCCGUGGGGGCCAAGUCAGUUUUAUUUGUAUUUAAUACUCAUAUUUGUAUUUUUCAAUUGUGGCAAAAUAUACAUCACAUAAAAUUUACUCUCUCAACCGUUUCUCUGUGUACAGUUCAGCAGCAUUAAGUACGUUCACACUGUCGUGUAACUAUCCCCACCAUCCUUUUCCAGAACUCAUCAUCCUCCCCUACGAGAAUUCUGCCCCACUGACCACCAACUCCCAUCCCCCUGCCCCGGCCCCUGGCCCCCACCCUCUGCUUUCUGUCUCUAUGAACCUGACUCCUCCCGGGACCUCACAUAAGUGGAAUCAUUAAGUAUUUGUCCUUCUGUGAUUGGCUUAUUUGCAGUAUCAGCUUUAGGCGGAAACUUCCUUCACCAGACCUGGGCGUUGGGACGGGGCUCUGCCCGCAGCCAGAGCAGGUGGGAGGUGGAAACCGAGGCAGGGACAUCAGGGGCAGGUGCGCAGACAUCUGGGGAGGGAGGGGCUGUGGACAGAGGUGGGCCCAGGGAUGCUGAGGACAGAGUGACAAGGGCAGGGGACCAUCAGGUGGGCUGAGGAGGGCUCAGUGAUGCCUCUUGAGCCCCCGGCUUGGUCCUUAAGCUGCGGUGGUGAUGGGGGCAGGCGGGCAGGGGGGCGUGAUGAGGGCGGGAGCCUCCGUCCUUUCUGAUGCUGCCAGAGCCGGUCACCCAAGCAUGGUGUGCACCCACAGAUCUCCCCGUGACGGUUCACUUCUGGCUGGGAGCCGGGGACGAAACUGAGGGGACAGUCCUCAAGGAGUCAGCAGUGACCUUCCCAAGAGGGGCCGGAUUGACCUCUGCCCUGCUGAGUCCAAAGGCAGCAGCAGGGGAGAUGAGGCGGGAGCACAGGUGCGAGAAAUCCCAGCAGCUCUGCUUCCGACACAUGUGAGCCGUGAUCAGCAGGGUGACAGGUUGGUGGGAGUUGGUGGGAGGAGGGGGAGCAAAACAAAACAUAUUUGGAUUAGUCUAUUAAAACAAAGUGUAUACGGUCAAAAAAAAAGAAAGAAAACCACACAACAAACUACCUCCAACUUGAGGACGGAAGGAGCCUUUUGGGGGUGCUCGUGCUUCCCUGUUGGGGGAAGAAAGAUGUCCCGUGGAGAGAGGGAGACCAGGGGCAGGGCUGGCCCUUCCCUGGUCCCAGAUGCCUGCCCGAGCCGAGCUCCUGGCCGAGGUAAGUGCCCCCCAGGAGGGGAUGGCAGAGAAGGGGCCCAGUCUGGGCUGGGGGUCAGGGAGCCUCGGAGAGGUUGGGAGUCUUCCCUCAGACCAGGCCUUUCUCUUAAAAAUGGCCCAGUCCCCCUUGUUUGGAAUUUCUGCUUUGCCCUCCCAUGGGACAGGCAUCUUCCGGGUGCCAGGCCGGGACGCUGAUGCACUGACUGGGCCCUGCCCUGGGGUCUCCUCUGUGAGGCUCAGCGUCACAGCUGUCGGCUGUCGGCUGUCGGCUGUCGCAGGGCUGCUGGCUUUUCUGUGAAGCUGAAGCCCUGGCUCCUGGACUCCUCGGCAGGAGGAGAGUUGAGUGUGGAAGGUCUAGGAGUGGGGCGGCCACUCUGGGUCUUCACCAGGCACCCCAUCUCUGCUGGGGGCAGAAUGGUUGUACGGAUGUGAAGGCACAGCCCAUGCAGACUGGCUGCUGGGGCUGGACUGCCCAUUAGUGGCUGGCGAGGCCAUGGGGGGCUCUGCAGCCCCUCGCACAGCAUGUGUGGAGCCGAGCAGGGGCUGGGGGAGGUGGGCAGCCUGCCAGGGCAUCGCAGCUGGGAGCCCAGUUCCAGGGCUGGAGGGGCCACCUGGGUGGGCAGUGGGCCAGGUUCACAGGGACUCUGCUCCCCAGCAUGGCGGGGCUGCCCCGCCAGGAACACGCCCACCCCUGCACACACUCACGUCCACUCACAACUGCACACGCACACAGAUUAACAAACACGCACGCUCAUGGCCUUACGCUCAGGCGCACACCUGACAUGACACCCUCACACCCUCACAGGCAGGUUCAAACACCCCACAUCUGUAUUCAUGUCACACAAGGCUCACCAGCACAUGUGUGGAUUCACACUUGCAGUCACAGACACACAUGCAAUUCACACUUGCACAGUCACACAAGAUGCCCCCAUCCAUUCUGGUUUUUUUAAUUUAUUUUUUAUUCCCUGCCCCCCAUCCAUUCUGACUCACACUUGCCUACACCCUCACACAGCUGUAUUCACAUGAGCACGUACACAGAUUCACAUGUACACAUAUUCACGUGUUUGCUCACAUACCCACACGGAUGCCCUCACACAUUCUUAUCUGUGUGGACACACCUGGACUCACUCUUCACACGUGCACACGUGGUCACUGAUGUACAUUUCCACACACACCCACCCCCGAGAUCCAUAGCAUUCGUACUCACACCUGCCCACCCAGUCACUCUCACACACAACAUUCAGACACACUCCAAUCCCCCAUCACGUGCACUCACACUCACACACAUUCACACCCGGCACCAAGGGACUGGAUUAAUUUUGCACACCGAUCAGUUAACACAACCAAUUCAAUUAAAGGUAAAGUUUCCAAUUACAUUCAUCCCAGGGAGCCUGAAACAUUCAAAGGGAGAACAAAAGUGGAAGAGAAGUCACCCCGCGCUCUUCCGGCCAGAAAGCAUCUCUGUCGAUGUUUUGGUUAAUGUCCUUCGGAGCCUUUGUUCCUCGCUUUUAAAAACCAUCUGUAGCUGUGAUCAUCCGAUUUAGGGGCCUGCCUUCGCGCACCGCGAUGAAAGCAUCCCGCGCGCGCUCCCAGGCUCGUCGUUUUAACGACGUGGCUUGGCUCUCACGUGCCUGCUGGCCCCCCGCUGUCGGACAAUUAGGUUGUCUCUAAUUAGUCCCUCUUCCAAGGAAAGCGGCUCCGAGUGUCUGGUGCUGGAGUGCUUUCCUAUAUUUAGAAUUAUUUCCUUAGGAGAGACUCUCGUUAGUGACAUUUCUGGGUCUGAGGAGGAAGGUUUUGAGGCCGGGAAGAGGCUUCCGGGAAGCUGGAGAAGCAGGGCGCUGUCCGGGGAGCGGGCUCAGCACCUUCCCGCAGGGCGGCCGGACUCAGUCUCAGCCCCUGGCUUCGGAACGUGGAGGGCGUCUCCCCGCGGCUCCCUCCUUGGGUAUUUUUAUUUGCUAAGUUCCCUGAUUUCAGAUGUGCUAAUUCCCCAGGAUGUCAGCAAUCACUAAGGCAUACAAAUGAGCAGUGCAGAGAAAAACUAAAAUUAAUAACUGUAAGACGACAUAAACCCUAUCAAAUGGUGAUUCUCCAUUUGCCUUUGCAUCCAGGGAGGGUAGGGACCUCCAGCUGGGUGUUCCGUGCUGCAGGAGAGUGGUCUCAGCCAGAGCUUGGCUCCCCUGCCCCGACUCACUUCCAGCUCAGGCCCCAGUCCUGGCCUGGCAGCAGCAUCGCACCAGGCCAUUAGCGCAGGUAGAAUAUGGCCCCCAAGACGUCCAUGCCCUAAUCCCCAGAUCCUGUGACUAUGCUGGUUCCUGACAAAGUGACAUUCCGUGGGCUCAUAAGGAGGACUGGAGAUGGGGAGGUUAUCCUGCCGGGCCCAAAGGAAUCACAACUGCCCUUGAAAGUAGAGGCGGGGAAACAGGAGACCCAGAGACGGCAGCCUGAGCAGGACUCUGCCCAACGUGGCUGGAGGAGGGGCCCCGAGCCCCGGGAUGCAGGCAGCCUUCAGAAGCUGGGAAAAGCAAGGAAAUGGGCUUUCCCUCAGAGCCACCAGAAGGAACACAGCCCCCGGUAACACCUUGAUUUUAGCCCAGUGAACCCUGUGUCAGAGUCCUGACCUCCAGGACUGUACGAAAACUGACUUGUGUUGUUUUAAGGCACUAAGUUUGUGAUAAUUAACA